This is a non-coding RNA of Vicia faba (fava bean), 459 nucleotides long. NCBI's taxonomy places the organism in Eukaryota, Viridiplantae, Streptophyta, Magnoliopsida, Fabales, Fabaceae. The record is from the annotation of a GenBank genome assembly.
AUGUUUUAUCAUUUUUUUGGAUGGGAUUUUAUAAGACUAAAUGGGUUAUUUUGCAAUAUUUAUUGUCAAAUACAUGGACUAAGGAUCCAAAAACAUGAUAUGUUUCUGCACUUUUUUUUACAUGAAAUUUUACCUGCAGAAAGAAAAAACAAAGGUUACAACAACACAACUCAUUCUAAUAGCAUCAAAAUACAUGUAUCACCAAGAAUAUUCAACAACAAUUCGAAUUGCAACAUUCACAAAUUCAAAGAAACAUUGAAGAAAAUUUACAACACAAUAUUAUACAUAGUGCCAUUUGUUUUUGCAGGAAACAGAGAUAAGAAGAAGGUGUUAAAAUCGAAUUCGCUCCUCUCAAACAUCCGUCCGCCUCUCAAAUCUCCUCCUCUCGUUGGCCAAGGUUCAGAUCCGAUACAAACAACACAGUUAAGCAGUGGCUUGGUGAUUAUACGAGAACAAUAA